GACAGAGGGUGCAAACGUUGUUCGGAAUUACUGGGCAUAAAGAGCACGUAGGUGGUUCGUUAAGUCACGUGUGAAAUCCCUCAGCUUAACUGGGGAACUGCGUGUGAUACUGGAUGGCUUGGAUUUGGGAGAGGGAUGCGGAAUUCCAGGUGUAGCGGUGAAAUGCGUAGAUAUCUGGAGGAACACCGGUGGCGAAGGCGGCAUCCUGGACCAAUAUUGACGCUGAGGAGCGAAAGCCAGGGGAGCAAACGGG
RNAcentral lists this ribosomal RNA (253 nucleotides) under uncultured bacterium. Its description in RNAcentral is "partial 16S ribosomal RNA". It matches the Rfam family "Bacterial small subunit ribosomal RNA", at positions 524 to 776 of the family's 1533-position model. The record is from RNAcentral.